Molecule: transfer RNA, 82 nt
Filed under: Candidatus Thorarchaeota archaeon
Lineage: Archaea; Promethearchaeati; Candidatus Thorarchaeota
Also listed under: 1 other name
Description: tRNA-Ser
Rfam family: tRNA
About the family: Transfer RNA (tRNA) molecules are approximately 80 nucleotides in length.
Source: RNAcentral
GCUGGGGUUGCCGAGCCUGGUAAGGCGCUAGCUUGGAGAGCUAGUGGCAUUUGCCACGCGGGUUCAAAUCCCGCCCCCAGCA